RNAcentral lists this ribosomal RNA (253 nucleotides) under uncultured bacterium. RNAcentral's name for it is "partial 16S ribosomal RNA". It matches the Rfam family "Bacterial small subunit ribosomal RNA", at positions 524 to 776 of the family's 1533-position model. The record is from RNAcentral.
UACGAAGGUGUCGAACGUUGUCCGGAAUAACUGGGCGUAAAGGGCGCGUAGGCGGUCGCGUAAGUCAGAUGUGAAAGCUCUGGGCUCAACCCAGGAAUUGCAUUUGAAACUGCGUGACUCGAGUUCGGUAGAGGAGGGCGGAAUUCCAGGUGUAGCGGUGAAAUGCGUAGAUAUCUGGAGGAACACCCGUGGCGAAGGCGGCUCUCUGGUCCGAUACUGACGCUGAGGCGCGAAAGCUAGGGUAGCAAACAGG